AAGAGAUAUCAGCCCAUAGUAACGGCCAACUUCUCAGAACCUCUUGCGCUAGAAUGUGGGUUGAGACGUGUGAGCACCGCCACGAAGGACCUGAGUCAGACCAAAUGCCAGCACAAGCAAGAUGACUGUCUGGGACACCAUGAACUUAAAACCUGUGACUGCAAGCCACAUGGCAGAGCAGUUCUCCUGGGUUCCCUUACCCUACUGCUCUCCGCCUGGGCUCUCCUUCCCAAUAAAAUCUUUUGCUUUGUCAGCACAUGUGUCUUCUCAGACAAUUCCUUCCUGAGGGUAGACAAGAGCAGAUUCUCAGGGUCUGGAAGGGGCCCUGUUCCAGUAACAAUAGUAUGACUAUGGAUAGACAGAGACCAACCCGAAACAAGAGAGCUUAUAAUCGCCAUAAACCAGGCAGCAUUUUGAGGAUCAUCCAGAUUAAGUGUGAGACAUCACUGGCUGACUGUUGGCUGGAUAAAACAUGUGCACAAAUAAGACUAUUAUCUGAGUGUCAUUAAAUAAUAGAAUUCCUUAAAUUCUACAGUUUAGCUAUCAUAAAACUUACAAAUAUUGGCCCU
Molecule: long non-coding RNA, 569 nt
Filed under: Ovis aries (sheep)
Lineage: Eukaryota; Metazoa; Chordata; Mammalia; Artiodactyla; Bovidae
Description: lncRNA (ENSOARG00000026834.1)
Source: RNAcentral